Molecule: ribosomal RNA, 882 nt
Filed under: uncultured bacterium
Lineage: Bacteria
Description: bacterial SSU rRNA
Rfam family: Bacterial small subunit ribosomal RNA
Source: RNAcentral
UGUAUGACGCUGGCGGCAGGCCUAAACAUGCAAGUCGAACGGUAACAGGAAGUGCUUGCACUUCGCUGACGAGUGGCGGACGGGUGAGUAAUGCUUGGGAACUUGCCUUUGUGAGGGGGAUAACAGUUGGAAACGACUGCUAAUACCGCAUGAUGUCUACGGACCAAACGGGGCUUCGGCUCCGGCGCAAAGAGAGGCCCAAGUGAGAUUGGCUAGUUGGUAAGGUAAAGGCUUACCAAGGCAACGAUCUCUAGCUGUUCUGAGAGGAAGAUCAGCCACACUGGAACUGAGACACGGUCCAGACUCCUACGGGAGGCAGCAGUGGGGAAUAUUGCACAAUGGGGGAAACCCUGAUGCAGCCAUGCCGCGUGUGUGAAGAAGGCCUUCGGGUUGUAAAGCACUUUCAGUUGUGAGGAAAAGUUAGUAGUUAAUACCUGCUAGCCGUGACGUUAACAACAGAAGAAGCACCGGCUAACUUCGUGCCAGCAGCCGCGGUAAUACGGAGGGUGCGAGCGUUAAUCGGAAUUACUGGGCGUAAAGCGCACGCAGGCGGAUUGUUAAGCUAGAUGUGAAAGCCCCGGGCUCAACCUGGGAUGGUCAUUUAGAACUGGCAGACUAGAGUCUUGGAGAGGGGAGUGGAAUUCCAGGUGUAGCGGUGAAAUGCGUAGAUAUCUGGAGGAACAUCAGUGGCGAAGGCGACUCCCUGGCCAAAGACUGACGCUCAUGUGCGAAGGUGUGGGUAGCGAACAGGAUUAGAUACCCUGGUAGUCCAUACCGUAAACGCUGUCUACUAGCUGUUUGUGACUUUAAGUCGUGGAGUAGCGAAGCUAACGCGAUAAGUAGACCGCCUGGGGGAGUACGGCCGCAAGGUUAAAACUCAAA